UACGAGGGGGGCAAGCGUUGUUCGGAAUUAUUGGGCGUAAAGGGCGCGUAGGCGGUUUGACAAGUCUGAUGUGAAAUCUAUGGGCUCAACCCAUAGCCUGCAUUAGAAACUGUCGGGCUUGAGUAUGGGAGAGGUGAGUGGAAUUUCCGGUGUAGCGGUGAAAUGCGUAGAUAUUCGGAAGAACACCAGUGGCGAAGGCGGCUCACUGGCCCGGUACUGACGCUGAGGUGCGAAAGCGUGGGGAGCAAACAGG
This 253-nucleotide ribosomal RNA is filed under the name uncultured bacterium. Its description in RNAcentral is "partial 16S ribosomal RNA". It matches the Rfam family "Bacterial small subunit ribosomal RNA", at positions 524 to 776 of the family's 1533-position model. The record is from RNAcentral.